UGGGGAAUAUUGGACAAUGGGCGCAAGCCUGAUCCAGCCAUGCCGCGUGAGUGAUGAAGGCCCUAGGGUUGUAAAGCUCUUUCACCGGUGAAGAUAAUGACGGUAACCGGAGAAGAAGCCCCGGCUAACUUCGUGCCAGCAGCCGCGGUAAUACGAAGGGGGCUAGCGUUGUUCGGAUUUACUGGGCGUAAAGCGCACGUAGGCGGACUAUUAAGUCAGGGGUGAAAUCCCGGGGCUCAACCCCGGAACUGCCUUUGAUACUGGUAGUCUUGAGUUCAAGAGAGGUGAGUGGAAUUCCGAGUGUAGAGGUGAAAUUCGUAGAUAUUCGGAGGAACACCAGUGGCGAAGGCGGCUCACUGGCUCGAUACUGACGCUGAGGUGCGAAAGCGUGGGGAGCAAACAGG
RNAcentral lists this ribosomal RNA (404 nucleotides) under Actinomycetes bacterium. Its description in RNAcentral is "Actinobacteria bacterium partial 16S ribosomal RNA". It matches the Rfam family "Bacterial small subunit ribosomal RNA", at positions 355 to 776 of the family's 1533-position model. Lineage: Bacteria; Bacillati; Actinomycetota; Actinomycetes. The record is from RNAcentral.